UCUUAUCAUCAUUCUAACCUAGUUCACUGUUUCUCACUCCUCUAGAUGCGCCUCUCUUAUCUUCUUUUAACUCCCCCAACAAACCGAAAUCUGAAAGCAAUCAGAAGAAAUCAUAAGAAAUUACUAAAAUCAUUGCUCGUAAAACCAACCUCUUUCACCAUAUCUUGAUCUCCUCCACAAAAUCCAAGUUCUUCCGUGAACCCAAUCUAAACCUGUAACCACAAAACAAAGAAAAGGGAUUAUCAAUUACUCAAAGGAUAUUAAAGAGAUGGCUAAGAAGGUCAAUGAUUUAUGACUUAUGUGGACGGAGCAAGUUAUUUAGGUUGGGGGGAGGGGGGUAAAUAUAUGCGGUGAAAGGUAAUAUGGAUGCACAAACUGGAGAUAAUGUUUGAAGGCAACAAUCUCUGGGUAGUUUGAUAUAACCGAUUUACUAGGUCCACCUAACCAAGAUGAGAAACGGAAACCUGUUGGUUCAUGCCUAGAGAGGGAUUACAUUAAACAGCUGUUUAAGGAUAAUGUGGCUCUUCAGAAGGUUAUUUCCGUAUUGUUAACUAGAAGAAUGCAAGGAGGGCUGCAAUAACAUCAAUUUUAUCUCAAAACCGAGCUAAAUAUUAUUGCUCUAUUAGUUUCUCUAUUACAUACGUACGGUUCUUAGUAUUAUUAUGUAAUUGCUGGUGGUUCACUAAUAUUCUUGUUUGAAAAUCCAGGGAGAAGUCCAAAGCAGCUGGGAAGAUGAAAAUUUGGCAAGGUUAUGCGCAUGCUGGCAUGGUUCUGCUGGGAAACAGUUUUUGAGGUUCUAUAUUGAUGAGUUUAAGUCUUUGAAUGCCCGCUCUAGAGCUAUUCUCAUGCAGAAGUUAAAUCGUAGUGGCACCACAUCAAGGGAGAAGUUUGGCCACUUGGUUCUGCAGGGAAACAGUUUCUGAGGUUCUACAAUGGUUGGCAGGAAUACAAGUAUUUCACUAGCAAGAUGCUUCUAAAAAACUUGCUGAGCCUGGACUUAUCUUAACGGACUCUUUACUAGGAUUAAUUAUGGAUCCCAGUCCAAAUUGAAAUUGUCAAAUUGUUUGGGUGCACAGAUACUCGAUUGUUAAGUAUGGGCUCAGUUCAUCGAGGAAAGGCUGCUGGCACUGAAGGGGCAACCAAAUUUGUGUGUAAUGCUGAGAAAGCUUUGGAACUCAUUUGUUAACCAUGGAGGUUACUAUUGAAGCCCAAAAUCCAUCUCUCAUCAAAUGUAUUAUGCAUCUGAUUGUGGAGAGCCUCAAAUACAUGUUGCAAACAAGGUGCACAAUUAUGAAGUGUUGGAUUAGUUCAUUUUACUGCAGGUGUAUCAAGUGUGUGGGGUUAGUUCAACAUCAGGCAGUUUAUCAUUUUGCUGGUUUGCACUUUUCUUUAAGACAAUUUGAACUUAUUUGCUCUUCUCUUUAAGAAACCUUCAACUUACUAGGAUUUGUAUUGGUGUGAAUUCAGAAUUUGAAUCCAUAUGAUUUUGAAUCUAAGUGUAAUUCAGUUAUAAAUUGUGUAAUGAAUACAUUGACUGAUUAAUGGAAAAGGCAUU
Papaver somniferum (opium poppy) is the source of this 1555-nucleotide long non-coding RNA. RefSeq lists it as uncharacterized. Lineage: Eukaryota; Viridiplantae; Streptophyta; Magnoliopsida; Ranunculales; Papaveraceae. The record is from RefSeq and is a predicted model, not a curated record. The transcript has 10 exons.